UUCUGCUAAGUCGCAAGACGAUGUAUAGGAGCUGACGCCUGCCCGGUGCUGGAAGGUUAAGGGGAUCUGUUAGAGCAAUCGAAGCAGUGAACUUAAGCCCCAGUAAACGGCGGCCGUAACUAUAACGGUCCUAAGGUAGCGAAAUUCCUUGUCGGGUAAGUUCCGACCCGAACGAAAGGCGUAACGAUUUGGGCACUGUCUCAACAACAGACUCGGUGAAAUUGUAAUUCCGGUGAAGAUGCCGGAUACCUGCGACAGGACGGCAAGACCCCAUGGAGCUUUACUGUAGCUUGACAUUGGGGCUUGGUACUACAUGUACAGGAU
RNAcentral lists this ribosomal RNA (324 nucleotides) under Clostridioides difficile. RNAcentral's name for it is "bacterial LSU rRNA". It matches the Rfam family "Bacterial large subunit ribosomal RNA", at positions 1821 to 2144 of the family's 2925-position model. Lineage: Bacteria; Bacillati; Bacillota; Clostridia; Peptostreptococcales; Peptostreptococcaceae. The record is from RNAcentral.